Molecule: non-coding RNA, 346 nt
Organism: Paramuricea clavata
Lineage: Eukaryota; Metazoa; Cnidaria; Anthozoa; Malacalcyonacea; Plexauridae
Source: the annotation of a GenBank genome assembly
AGAGAGAGAGAGAGAGAGAGAGAGAGAGAGAGAGAGAGAGAGAGAGAGAGAUAAAGAUAAAAUGAACCUGGUUUACUUCAUAAGAUUUAUUCAGUACAAACUUGUUUCGUAUGACAAGCAAUGCUUGCCACACUCAUCAGGUGAAUUUAAAUGGAACGAAACGAAAUAAAAGAAAAACAAAGAAAACGAAAAAAGGAACGAUACGAAUCAAAAGGAAUCGUAUGUCGGACAUACUGAAGGACAGUUCAAAUCCAGAUAUUAUUGCCACACUAGCUCAUUCAGAUUAAGCAAGUAUAGAAAUGCCACAGAGCUGAGCAAAUACAUCUGGCAACUUAAAGAGUCGAAG